Molecule: ribosomal RNA, 497 nt
Filed under: uncultured bacterium
Lineage: Bacteria
Description: partial 16S ribosomal RNA
Rfam family: Bacterial small subunit ribosomal RNA
Source: RNAcentral
GAUGAACGCUGGCGGCGUGCCUAAUACAUGCAAGUCGAGCGAACAGACGAGGAGCUUGCUCCUCUGACGUUAGCGGCGGACGGGUGAGUAACACGUGGAUAACCUACCUAUAAGACUGGGAUAACUUCGGGAAACCGGAGCUAAUACCGGAUAAUAUAUUGAACCGCAUGGUUCAAUAGUUAAAGACGGUUUUGCUGUCACUUAUAGAUGGAUCCGCGCCGCAUUAGCUAGUUGGUAAGGUAACGGCUUACCAAGGCGACGAUGCGUAGCCGACCUGAGAGGGUGAUCGGCCACACUGGAACUGAGACACGGUCCAGGCUCCUACGGGAGGCAGCAGUAGGGAAUCUUCCGCAAUGGGCGAAAGCCUGACGGAGCAACGCCGCGUGAGUGAUGAAGGUCUUCGGAUCGUAAAACUCUGUUAUUAGGGAAGAACAAAUGUGUAAGUAACUAUGCACGUCUUGACGGUACCUAAUCAGAAAGCCACGGCUAACUACGUG